Molecule: ribosomal RNA, 528 nt
Filed under: Hydraena vedrasi
Lineage: Eukaryota; Metazoa; Arthropoda; Insecta; Coleoptera; Hydraenidae
Description: partial 16S ribosomal RNA
Rfam family: Bacterial large subunit ribosomal RNA (bases 109-462)
Source: RNAcentral
UAAUUAGUUUCUUAAUUAGAAGCUGGUAUGAAUGGUUGAACGAGAAAUUAGCUGUCUCAAUUUAUAAAUUAAAAUUUUAUUUUUAAGUUAAAAAGCUUAAAUUAAUUUAAAAGACGAGAAGACCCUAUAGAGUUUUAUAAUUAAUAAAAUUUUAAUUUUAGGAUUUUUUAUAUUUUAGUAAUUAUUUUAUUGGGGUGAUAUAUAAAUUAAAAUAACUUUAUAUUUUUAAUAACAUAAAUUAAUGAUUUUUUGAUCCAUUAUUAAUGAUUAUAAGAAAAAAUUACCUUAGGGAUAACAGCGUAAUUUUUUUUUAGAGUUCUAAUCGAAAAAAGAGAUUGCGACCUCGAUGUUGGAUUAAAGUUAAUUUUUGGUGUAGAAGCUAUAAAAUUAGGUCUGUUCGACCUUUAAAACUUUACAUGAUCUGAGUUUAAACCGGUGUGAGCCAGGUUGGUUUCUAUCUUUAAAUAUUUUAAAUAUUUUAGUACGAAAGGACCAAGUAUUUUUAAAAUUUAAUUUUUAAUUGAAUAU